This 384-nucleotide ribosomal RNA is filed under the name Triticum aestivum (bread wheat). RNAcentral's name for it is "partial small subunit ribosomal RNA". Lineage: Eukaryota; Viridiplantae; Streptophyta; Magnoliopsida; Poales; Poaceae. The record is from RNAcentral.
AUGGCUCCAAAGCCGCUGCGCUCACGGAAGCUGCGUAUUGUCAAUGGCCAGCGUUGUCUGGAGGGUACCGGCCACUGGGGCAAUUACGUCAGGCUUGUGAACGACAGCUUGGCAGACCAACCUGUCAAGCACAAGGAGUUUGUCAACUUCUUGCGCUUUUUCAGGAUCUGUAGAAUUCGUUCUGCGGCCAGUUAUAUGGAAAAGGCAUUAGAAGGACACCCCCAGCUGAUCCGCCAGUUUAACCGGUUCUUGCCUAACAAUUGUCAGAUCAAGGUCAAGGAGGAGGGGGCCAGCGCCCCAAUGAGCAGCCGUGAAAAUAUCAGUGCCGUGGCUGGGCUCGUGAAGCUGAAGGAGGGCGGCAGCCCAAGGGUUCAGUUAUCUUAG